This 1433-nucleotide ribosomal RNA is filed under the name uncultured organism. RNAcentral's name for it is "16S ribosomal RNA". It matches the Rfam family "Bacterial small subunit ribosomal RNA". The record is from RNAcentral.
CAGGCUUAACACAUGCAAGUCGAGGGGCAUCAGGAAGAAAGCUUGCUUUCUUUGCUGGCGACCGGCGCACGGGUGAGUAACACGUAUCCAACCUGCCCUUUACUCGGGGAUAGCCUUUCGAAAGAAAGAUUAAUACCCGAUAGCAUAAUGAUUCCGCAUGGUUUCAUUAUUAAAGGAUUCCGGUAAAGGAUGGGGAUGCGUUCCAUUAGGUUGUUGGUGAGGUAACGGCCCACCAAGCCUUCGAUGGAUAGGGGUUCUGAGAGGAAGGUCCCCCACAUUGGAACUGAGACACGGUCCAAACUCCUACGGGAGGCAGCAGUGAGGAAUAUUGGUCAAUGGGCGCUAGCCUGAACCAGCCAAGUAGCGUGAAGGAUGAAGGCUCUAUGGGUCGUAAACUUCUUUUAUAUAAGAAUAAAGUGCACUAUGUAUACUGUUUUGUAUGUAUUAUAUGAAUAAGGAUCGGCUAACUCCGUGCCAGCAGCCGCGGUAAUACAUGAGGAUCCGAGCGUUAUCCGGAUUUAUUGGGUUUAAAGGGAGCGUAGGUGGACUGGCAAGUCAGUUGUGAAAGUUUGCGGCUCAACCGUAAAAUUGCAGUUGAUACUGUCAGUCUAGAGUACAGUAGAGGUGGGCGGAAUUCGUGGUGUAGCGGUGAAAUGCUUAGAUAUCACGAAGAACUCCGAUUGCGAAGGCAGCUCACUGGACUGCAACUGACACUGAUGCUCGAAAGUGUGGGUAUCAAACAGGAUUAGAUACCCUGGUAGUCCACACAGUAAACGAUGAAUACUCGCUGUUUGCGAUAUACAGUAAGCGGCCAAGCGAAAGCAUUAAGUAUUCCACCUGGGGAGUACGCCGGCAACGGUGAAACUCAAAGGAAUUGACGGGGGCCCGCACAAGCGGAGGAACAUGUGGUUUAAUUCGAUGAUACGCGAGGAACCUUACCCGGGCUUAAAUUGCAGUGGAAUGAUGUGGAAACAUGUCAGUGAGCAAUCACCGCUGUGAAGGUGCUGCAUGGUUGUCGUCAGCUCGUGCCGUGAGGUGUCGGCUUAAGUGCCAUAACGAGCGCAACCCUUAUCUUCAGUUACUAACAGGUUAUGCUGAGGACUCUGGAGAGACUGCCGUCGUAAGAUGUGAGGAAGGUGGGGAUGACGUCAAAUCAGCACGGCCCUUACGUCCGGGGCUACACACGUGUUACAAUGGGGGGUACAGAAGGCAGCUACCUGGUGACAGGAUGCUAAUCCCAAAAGCCUCUCUCAGUUCGGAUCGAAGUCUGCAACCCGACUUCGUGAAGCUGGAUUCGCUAGUAAUCGCGCAUCAGCCACGGCGCGGUGAAUACGUUCCCGGGCCUUGUACACACCGCCCGUCAAGCCAUGGGAGCCGGGGGUACCUGAAGUACGUAACCGCAAGGAGCGUCCUAGGGUAAAACUGGUGACUGG